RNAcentral lists this ribosomal RNA (1451 nucleotides) under uncultured organism. RNAcentral describes it as "SSU rRNA". It matches the Rfam family "Bacterial small subunit ribosomal RNA". The record is from RNAcentral.
GAACGCUAGCUACAGGCUUAACACAUGCAAGUCGAGGGGCAGCAUGGUCUUAGCUUGCUAAGGCCGAUGGCGACCGGCGCACGGGUGAGUAACGCGUAUCCAACCUGCCUUACACUCUUGGACAGCCUUCUGAAAGGGAGAUUAAUACAAGAUGUUAUCAUGAGUAAGCAUUUUCGCAUGAUUAAAGGUUUACCGGUGUAAGAUGGGGAUGCGUUCCAUUAGAUAGUAGGCGGGGUAACGGCCCACCUAGUCUUCGAUGGAUAGGGGUUCUGAGAGGAAGGUCCCCCACAUUGGAACUGAGACACGGUCCAAACUCCUACGGGAGGCAGCAGUGAGGAAUAUUGGUCAAUGGACGAGAGUCUGAACCAGCCAAGUAGCGUGAAGGAUGAAGGUUCUAUGGAUUGUAAACUUCUUUUAUACGGGAAUAAACGAAUCCACGUGUGGAUUUUUGCAUGUACCGUAUGAAUAAGGAUCGGCUAACUCCGUGCCAGCAGCCGCGGUAAUACGGAGGAUCCGAGCGUUAUCCGGAUUUAUUGGGUUUAAAGGGAGCGUAGAUGGGUUGUUAAGUCAGUUGUGAAAGUUUGCGGCUCAACCGUAAAAUUGCAAUUGAUACUGGCAGUCUUGAGUACAGUUGAGGUAGGCGGAAUUCGUGGUGUAGCGGUGAAAUGCUUAGAUAUCACGAAGAACUCCGAUUGCGAAGGCAGCUUACUAACCUGUAACUGACAUUGAUGCUCGAAAGUGUGGGUAUCAAACAGGAUUAGAUACCCUGGUAGUCCACACGGUAAACGAUGAAUACUCGCUGUAGGCGAUAUACAGUCUGCGGCCAAGCGAAAGCAUUAAGUAUUCCACCUGGGGAGUACGCCGGCAACGGUGAAACUCAAAGGAAUUGACGGGGGCCCGCACAAGCGGAGGAACAUGUGGUUUAAUUCGAUGAUACGCGAGGAACCUUACCCGGGCUUAAAUUGCAACCGAAUAUGGCGGAAACGCUAUAGCUAGCAAUAGCGGUUGUGAAGGUGCUGCAUGGUUGUCGUCAGCUCGUGCCGUGAGGUGUCGGCUUAAGUGCCAUAACGAGCGCAACCCUUGCCGAUAGUUACUAACAGGUCAUGCUGAGGACUCUGUCGGGACUGCCAUCGUAAGAUGUGAGGAAGGUGGGGAUGACGUCAAAUCAGCACGGCCCUUACGUCCGGGGCUACACACGUGUUACAAUGGGGGGUACAGAGGGCUGCUACCACGCAAGUGGAUGCCAAUCCCAAAAACCUCUCUCAGUUCGGAUUGAAGUCUGCAACCCGACUUCAUGAAGCUGGAUUCGCUAGUAAUCGCGCAUCAGCCACGGCGCGGUGAAUACGUUCCCGGGCCUUGUACACACCGCCCGUCAAGCCAUGGGAGCCGGGGGUACCUGAAGUGCGUAACCGCAAGGAGCGCCCUAGGGUAAAACUGGUGACUGGGGCUAA